ACCAAAAAGACAAAAAAGAAAAAAAAAUACCACAAUUUAUCAAGCAUAAUUUUUUUAAGGAAAGUUCAUCAACAAAAUGUCACAAACUUUGCUAGAUUUCAGGUGAUCUAUGCUUUAGUAAAAAAUCAUAAUGAGAUGCAACGCCAACAGCUGCAUAAAAAAUGAAAAAAAAUAUUAAUAUCUCUUAAACAAAUAUAGAUAAUAAACAAAAUAAACCAUCCUGCCUGACAUAAAUGUCUCAUUCACAUCUGUUUAUCAAACGCAAAUAAGGAAGAUUGAGUUUUUACCUUGAUUUGAUAUCAAAUUGGAAUCACAUCCAUCUUUAAUGAUGACUUGAAUAGGGUUGUUUUUUUACUUAUGUUAGGCUACUGCCGACUUGAAGACGGGUGAUAUUGUUGCUAACUUGAAUGCCAACUUAAAGAGGGGUGUUGCUGAUGACUUAAAGAAAAGUAAUGCUGAUGUUGAAUUGAAGAAGGUUGAUGGUGAUGUUGACUUGAAGAAGGUUGAUACAGAGGUUGAAUUAAAGAGGGCUGAUGUUGAAUUGAAGAUAGCAUGUUUCAGUUCGCAAUUGAUUGUAAGAGUGAAGGAUGUCAUUUUGAAAUGUUGUUUUGAAUUGGCAAACUUGUAUGACAAUUCUGGUUACUAGUUUUUUUAGAG
RNAcentral lists this long non-coding RNA (657 nucleotides) under Citrus maxima (pomelo). RNAcentral describes it as "long non-coding RNA (CMAX_LNC002143)". The record is from RNAcentral. Lineage: Eukaryota; Viridiplantae; Streptophyta; Magnoliopsida; Sapindales; Rutaceae.